This 461-nucleotide ribosomal RNA is filed under the name uncultured bacterium. RNAcentral describes it as "partial 16S ribosomal RNA". It matches the Rfam family "Bacterial small subunit ribosomal RNA", at positions 338 to 795 of the family's 1533-position model. The record is from RNAcentral.
CCUACGGGAGGCAGCAGUGAGGAAUAUUGGUCAAUGGGCGGAAGCCUGAACCAGCCAAGUCGCGUGAGGGAUUAAGGCCCUAUGGGUCGUAAACCUCUUUUGUCAGGGAGCAAUGGCGUCCACGUGUGGGCGUAUGGAGAGUACCUGAAGAAAAAGCAUCGGCUAACUCCGUGCCAGCAGCCGCGGUAAUCCGGAGGAUGCGAGCGUUAUCCGGAUUUAUUGGGUUUAAAGGGAGCGUAGGUGGAUUGUUAAGUCAGUUGUGAAAGUUUGCGGCUCAACCGUAAAAUUGCAGUUGAAACUGGCAGUCUUGAGUACAGUAGAGGUGGGCGGAAUUCGUGGUGUAGCGGUGAAAUGCUUAGAUAUCACGAAGAACUCCGAUUGCGAAGGCAGCUCACUGGACUGCAACUGACACUGAGGCUCGAAAGUGUGGGUAUCAAACAGGAUUAGAUACCCGUGUAGUC